UUCUGAUCUCUCCCAAUUAGAGGAUUAGGCAAUUGGCAGUGCAGGGCGGUAACUGGGGGCCAGGGUGGCGCCAGGGCUGGACAGCACAGUCCCUCUGAGCUGCACGGAGACCUCGCAGGCCCCCGGAACUGUCGCCCUUCCAGGAUGUGGCUCCCUGCUCUUGUCCUGGCCACUCUCGCUGCUUCCGCGGCUUGGGGGCAUCUGUCCUCGCCACCUUUGGUGGAC
Molecule: long non-coding RNA, 225 nt
Filed under: Homo sapiens (human)
Lineage: Eukaryota; Metazoa; Chordata; Mammalia; Primates; Hominidae
Description: non-protein coding lnc-SLC6A2-2:2
Source: RNAcentral